Long non-coding RNA from Folsomia candida, 297 nucleotides. RefSeq lists it as uncharacterized. The transcript has 3 exons. The record is from RefSeq and is a predicted model, not a curated record. Lineage: Eukaryota; Metazoa; Arthropoda; Collembola; Entomobryomorpha; Isotomidae.
ACAGUACUUGCCGGAUCAAAUUCGAUCACCACUGGUGGUGUUGUGAGACCAGCUUCGGAAUUUGUUAUUCACAUUGGAUGGAAUAACGUAACUAGGGUCAAUGACAUCGCACUAAUUAAGGUUGGAAUUGUGUCGUACUGGACACCCAAUGAAUGUGCCCUAGGGCAACCAGUGGUUAAUAUUCGACUAACGGAAUAUCGAUUAUGGAUUCUGGCUAAUAUUUUGCAGUAAGACGGUCGCAUUGUUUAACUAUGUAAAUAUGUGCAGGAUUGAAGGACUCUUGUUAUUGUCCGAUAC